Molecule: ribosomal RNA, 253 nt
Filed under: uncultured bacterium
Lineage: Bacteria
Description: partial 16S ribosomal RNA
Rfam family: Bacterial small subunit ribosomal RNA
Source: RNAcentral
UACGGAGGGGGUUAGCGUUGUUCGGAAUGACUGGGCGUAAAGCGCGCGUAGGCGGAUCAUCAAGUCGGGGGUGAAAUCCCGGGGCUCAACCCCGGAAUGGCCUUCGAGACUGGUGGUCUUGAGUUCGAGAGAGGUGAGUGGAAUUCCGAGUGUAGACGUGAAAUUCGUAGAUAUUCGGAGGAACACCAGUGGCGAAGGCGGCUCACUGGCUCGACACUGACGCUGAGGUGCGAAAGCGUGGGGAGCAAACAGG